AAUACGAAGGGACCUAGCGUAGUUCGGAAUUACUGGGCUUAAAGAGUUCGUAGGUGGUUGAAAAAGUUGGUGGUGAAAGCCCAGAGCUUAACUCUGGAACUGCCAUCAAAACUUUUCAGCUAGAGUAUGAUAGAGGAAAGCAGAAUUUCUAGUGUAGAGGUGAAAUUCGUAGAUAUUAGAAAGAAUACCAAUUGCGAAGGCAGCUUUCUGGAUCAUUACUGAUACUGAGGAACGAAAGCAUGGSUAGCGAAGAGGAUUAGAUACCCUCGUAGUCCAUGCCGUAAACGAUGUGUGUUAGACGUUGGAAAUUUAUUUUCAGUGUCGCAGCGAAAGCGAUAAACACACCGCCUGGGGAGUACGACCGCAAGGUUAAAACUCAAAUGAAUUGACGGGGACCCGCACAAGUAGUGGAGCAUGUGGUUUAAUUCGAAGAUACGCGCAGAACCUUACCAACACUUGACAUGUUCGUCGCGACUUUAAGAGAUUAAAGUUUUCGGUUCGGCCGGACGAAACACAGGUGCUGCAUGGCUGUCGUCAGCUCGUGCCGUGAGAUGUUGGGUUAAGUCCCGCAACGAGCGCAACCCUCACUUUUAGUUGCCAUCAUUUAGUUGGGCACUCUGAAAGAACUGCCAGUGAUAAGCUGGAGGAAGGUGGGGAUGACGUCAAGUCCUCAUGGCCCUUACGUGUUGGGCUACACACGUGCUACAAUGGUAUCUACAACAGGAGGCAAAACCGCGAGGUUAAGCAAAUCCUUAAAAGAUACCUCAGUUCGGAUUGCACUCUGCAACUCGAGUGCAUGAAGCUGGAAUUACUAGUAAUCGUGGAUCAGCGUGCCACGGUGAAUGCGUUCCCGGGUCUUGUACACACCGCCCGUCACACCAUGGGAGUUGGUUCUACCUUAAGGCAAGGUUUCAAACCCUUGACCACGGUAUAGUCAGC
Molecule: ribosomal RNA, 939 nt
Filed under: uncultured bacterium
Lineage: Bacteria
Description: bacterial SSU rRNA
Rfam family: Bacterial small subunit ribosomal RNA
Source: RNAcentral